CCCGGCUUAGCUCAGUGGUAGAGCGGCGGACUGUAGAUCCGCAUGUCCCCGGUUCGAGUCCGGGAGCCGGGA
This 72-nucleotide transfer RNA is filed under the name Thermoplasmata archaeon. Its description in RNAcentral is "tRNA-Tyr". It matches the Rfam family "tRNA". Rfam says of the family: Transfer RNA (tRNA) molecules are approximately 80 nucleotides in length. Their secondary structure includes four short double-helical elements and three loops (D, anti-codon, and T loops). The record is from RNAcentral. RNAcentral also lists the same sequence under 1 other name. Lineage: Archaea; Methanobacteriati; Thermoplasmatota; Thermoplasmata.